Molecule: long non-coding RNA, 1329 nt
Filed under: Hordeum vulgare
Lineage: Eukaryota; Viridiplantae; Streptophyta; Magnoliopsida; Poales; Poaceae
Description: long non-coding RNA (HVUL_LNC001880)
Source: RNAcentral
UCCUCCAAAAACCAUGUGGGAAAAACUAAGGACAAACCUUAUAAUAAUAUGCCAUCGAAAACUCCUUUAAAACCCAGUGGGAAAAAUAUAAGGAGAAACCAAUAUGGCAUACAUCCACACUUGUAUUUAUAUUGUCUCAUUAAAAACCUUAUAUGAGAAACCAUCUUGGAAAACUCAUAAAGGGAAAAAGAGUACAAUAUGAAUGAUAUGAAGAUCACCAACAAGUUAUAACUUGGGAUUUUACUCCCCCUGAAUUUCGCAAACAUCAAUGUUGUCUCAUACCAAUUCCACGAAUGUGAUUCUGGAAUAUAAACGUUGGUAGAGACAUCGUGAACCUCACAAUAAUUUGUUUGCAGAUUAUCCUGUUACAUUUCUAUAAUCCAGGAGGAUAAAUAUAACUCAUAAGCAAUACAAGUGACAUUAUCUUGGUAGAUAAUGAUCUUUGAUUCCAAUGAAUCUCCACAUGAUCUCACAUGUGACCAGUCAUUCUGCGAAGUCAUGUAUAUCUUGUCAUGCUUCAAACAUAAUUAUGGCAGAAUGAAUAUAGGAAGGACUCAUUUAGAGUCUAUUCUAAAGGCUUCCGUCAUAAUACUCUUCCAUUAAAUCCAGUCUUUGAUAUGGCAUUGUUGGGAUCAGAUUAUCAGCCACUAUGAGGAUAUCACACCAUGGUCCCAUCUUGAUUUUCUCAAUGGAAUUAAUCAAGACCUUUGUGUAUUGGACAUAUUCGAGGAUAUUCCUUACACCAACCAUUAUACCUUUUAUUGGGAAUUUCACUCUCAAUAAAUUGCCAAAAAAUAUAAUGUCAGACCUGACUUACUUUGCAAUAUAUAUGAGUGCUCCGAUGGUACUCAGAUAUGGAACUUCAUGUCCAUUAUCACUUCACCAUCUCCCAUGGACUUGUGUCCCAUGUCAGGUAUAAUAUGACCAUAUGUGUCUUUGAUAAGAUAUAUCCAUAUUGAACGUUUUCAAUAUUUCGAGAUAUAUAAAGACUGGCAUACAUUUAUUCCCGAGGGAUUUUGCUAAAGCUAUAAACUUAGCAUCAUUUGGUUUGACCCAAAUAUCCGUCUCAAAAUGAUUGUGUGUAUUUAAUAUAUCUUGUAUAGACAUUGAUGAUAAGAUCAUCCACAUCAAUAAUAAGAUGUAAAUCCAAUUCAUGAUAUCUUCAUGAAUAUACAUCAACAAUCAUCAGUAUUAGAGUAAUCCUUGUCAAGGAGUAACUCACUUAGUCGGUUGUACCACACGACACUCCGACCAAAUUCAGAGUCAAAGAAUGACUUCUGAAGCUUCACACACAUGUUGCGAUUUAUCAUUGGAUUCGGAAUAUUAAGC